RNAcentral lists this small RNA (54 nucleotides) under Plasmodium falciparum 3D7. RNAcentral's name for it is "Pfa-rasR7209". The record is from RNAcentral. Lineage: Eukaryota; Apicomplexa; Aconoidasida; Haemosporida; Plasmodiidae.
AUAAACCCAAUUCUGGAACUGCACCACCCAACACACCUCCACACUUCAAACAUG